CCUACGGGAGACAGCAGUGGGGGAUAUUGCACAAUGGACGAAACUCUGAUGCAGCGACGCCGCGUGAGGGAAGAAGGUCUUCGGAUUGUAAACCUCUGUCUUUGGGGAAGAAAAUGACGGUACCCAAAGAGGAAGCGCCGGCUAACUACGUGCCAGCAGGCGCGGUAAUACGUAGGGAGCGAGCGUGGUCCGGUAUUACUGGGUGUAAAGGGAGCGUAGGCGGGCGAGAAAGUCGAAUGUUAAAGCUACGGGCUGAACUGGUAGCUGCGUUCAAAACUUCUUGUCUUGAGUGAAGUAGAGGCAAGCGGAAUUCCUAGUGUAGCGGUGAAAUGCGUAGAUAUUAGGAGGAACACCAGUGGCGAAGGCGGCCUGCUGGGCUUUAACUGACGCUGAGGGUCGAAAGCGUGGGGAGCAAACAGGAUUAGAUACCCGUGUAGUC
RNAcentral lists this ribosomal RNA (439 nucleotides) under uncultured bacterium. Its description in RNAcentral is "partial 16S ribosomal RNA". It matches the Rfam family "Bacterial small subunit ribosomal RNA", at positions 338 to 795 of the family's 1533-position model. The record is from RNAcentral.